AAUGAAGCUCAGCUUGAGUUACCUUAUUGCACAAACCAAAUUGUCAAGGAAAAAUUAAAGAGUUAACAUCAUUGUUUGCUCUGAAAUGGUGAAGAUGAUCACAAGUAAACAUAGUUCCAGAGUGGCAAGACAACAUGAAACAGAAUUCAUAAAUUUUAUGAAAACAUUACAGGAAUUGUCAUAGAUUAAAAAGAAGACCAAGAAAACCUAUCAGAAACAAAAUGAGAAGUUGCUAAAUAGUGAGCACUUGCAUGCAUCUGCAGAAAUUGCGAACGGCCUCAAGGUCAUUUCUGAUGCAAAGCAUGUUCAUGUGGAAGCUUUUUUUUUUUUUUAUUAAUUUUUCCUAUUCAGUUUCUAUGCUUCCUAUUUUAAUUAGGUUUCUUGUUUUAGUUUACUAUUCCAUCUAGGACUUAGUUUCCUGUUCUAUUUAGGAUUUUAAUAUAUUCUCCUAUUCUAGUUAGGAUUUGUUUCCUCCUAUUUUAAUUAGGAUUUAAUUCUUUCCCAUUUAGUUUAGGAUUCCUAAUGUAUUUUAGCUUAUCUAAAUUUCCUAAACAGUAGGUAUAUAUUCCUAUUUAGUUUAGGAGGCUUAAAUACUCCAUAAAUACCCCUAAAAUUCUAUGUAAUUUAGUUUAGUUUUCAGAUGGUAAAAAUCCAGCAGAGGAUAUCUCACUCUUGUGUGUGAGUGUGACUUCUUUCCUUAAGCUUCCCGCUGCGUCAAUUUCAGUGGAGCAUCCAAUAAAGAAAGCUCCCAUCAGAGCUCUUAAGGAUGUUUCUUGACUUAAUUUCGCAAAUAGUUAUACCAAUGAGAACUGACUCACAGUUCACUAGUUGAGACAUUUGAUCCAACUACGACUAUAUCUCAAAAAAACAACAGAAAAUAUUACAGAAAUUUUAUUAACAAAAAAGCCCACUACGCGUUUACAUUUAAGGGGAACUCAUUAUUGAAAAAUUUUCUUCUAAAAUACUUUAAUUAUGAUUUAAAAUUUGAAAAAAAUACAAACAGAUAGCAUAAUCCUAUGGUCUUAUAAGAGGUUACUAACCUACCAUUCAUCUUGGAAACCGAUAUGGAAAUCAAAGUUCGCUCUUAUCAUUAAAUGUAUGUGCAAAGCACAAAGCAGUAGCAUAACCAUAUAGAUUCCUUUAUUCUACAUUCUUCAAUUACCUCAUGGGAAAGAUUACCAA
This 1182-nucleotide unclassified non-coding RNA is filed under the name Hevea brasiliensis (rubber tree). The record is from RNAcentral. Lineage: Eukaryota; Viridiplantae; Streptophyta; Magnoliopsida; Malpighiales; Euphorbiaceae.